Molecule: transfer RNA, 74 nt
Filed under: Phascolarctos cinereus (koala)
Lineage: Eukaryota; Metazoa; Chordata; Mammalia; Diprotodontia; Phascolarctidae
Description: tRNA (ENSPCIG00000035904.1)
Source: RNAcentral
AUUAAGGUGGCAGAGCAGGUAAUUGCAUAAAACUUAAACCUUUAUAACCAGAGGUUCAACCCCUCUCCUUAAUA